RNAcentral lists this long non-coding RNA (683 nucleotides) under Scleropages formosus (Asian bonytongue). RNAcentral describes it as "lncRNA (ENSSFOG00015027627.1)". The record is from RNAcentral. Lineage: Eukaryota; Metazoa; Chordata; Actinopteri; Osteoglossiformes; Osteoglossidae.
AAUGGGGAGCAGGAGCUCCUUCAGCACAGUUGCUCUGCCUCUUCUUCCAGGUGUGAGGUCCUCCUUGGCUCUACAUCAGACGUGUGUGUUGAAGAGCGGAAGAAAGUACCAGAAUGAAGGAAUCUGUGAAAUUUGAAUAGAAAAGGUGGUAAGAGCUAAGAUGUAUGGACCCAUCAAAAGCUGGCAGGAGGAACUACUAGAACUCUGACAAAAAAAUUCAGAAGUGCCAGUACUGUUUAGUGGCCUGGGGUUUGGGUUCUGCUUGGGGUGCCUUGCGGCGGACUGGCAUCUCGUCCGGGGUGUGUCCCCUCCCCCUCCAGCCUUGCGCCCUCUGUUGCCGGGUUAAACUCCGGCUCACUGCAACCCCGCUUGGGACAAGCGGUUUCAGCAAGUGUGUGCGUGUGUGAAUUUCUAUUACAUGCCUUUGCUUGCUUUGAUUUGAGUGUGAUUACUAGUUAUGAGUUAAAUAUUUCAGUGCAUUUUCAGAUGUGUGAUGUUCCUUCUUGCCCCAUAUCUCAAAAAAGCAAAAAUCAGUGUCAUACACACAACUGUGACAUUUCACAGUUAUCACAAAGCGUAUAAUGAUCAAAGGUCUUUCUCUGCUCUGUUUUUUAUCAAACAAGAUUGUUGUUCAAAGAAGAUUUUCUGAAAGAAACUUGUAAGUCCACACUGCUUCAUUUCCC